AGCAGAGAUGCUUUAGUGCCUUCGGGAACUCUGAGACAGGUGCUGCAUGGCUGUCGUCAGCUCGUGUUGUGAAAUGUUGGGUUAAGUCCCGCAACGAGCGCAACCCUUAUCCUUUGUUGCCAGCACGUAAUGGUGGGAACUCAAAGGAGACUGCCGGUGAUAAACCGGAGGAAGGUGGGGAUGACGUCAAGUCAUCAUGGCCCUUACGAGUAGGGCUACACACGUGCUACAAUGGCGCAUACAAAGAGAAGCGACCUCGCGAGAGCAAGCGGACCUCAUAAAGUGCGUCGUAGUCCGGAUUGGAGUCUGCAACUCGACUCCAUGAAGUCGGAAUCGCUAGUAAUCGUAAAUCAGAAUGUUACGGUGAAUACGUUCCCGGGCCUUGUACACACCGCCCGUCACACCAUGGGAGUGGGUUGCAAAAGAAGUAGAUAGCUUAACCUUCGGGAGGGCGUUUACCACUUUGUGAUUCAUGACUGGGGUGAAGUCGUAACAAGGUAGGCGUAGUGCU
Molecule: ribosomal RNA, 511 nt
Filed under: uncultured bacterium
Lineage: Bacteria
Description: bacterial SSU rRNA
Rfam family: Bacterial small subunit ribosomal RNA
Source: RNAcentral